CAAUACACUAGUGGCGCACGGGUGCGUAACGCGUAACCAACCUACCCAGAACCGGGGGAUAGCCCGCCGAAAGGCGGAUUAAUACCGCAUAAGACCACAGAGCGGCAUCGUUUAGUGGUUAAAGAUUUAUUGGUUUUGGAUGGGGUUGCGUGCCAUUAGCUGGUUGGGGGGGUAACGGCCCACCAAGGCGACGAUGGCUAGGGGAGCUGAGAGGCUGGUCCCCCACACGGGCACUGAGAUACGGGCCCG
RNAcentral lists this ribosomal RNA (249 nucleotides) under uncultured bacterium. RNAcentral's name for it is "partial 16S ribosomal RNA". It matches the Rfam family "Bacterial small subunit ribosomal RNA", at positions 85 to 334 of the family's 1533-position model. The record is from RNAcentral.